AGGAGCAACCAUAUCAGCACUAAUGCACGAGAUUCCAUCUGAACUCCGAAGUUAAGCGUGCUUGAGAAGGAAUAGUUCUAAGAUGGACCUGUCUUAUGACUUUCAUAGAUUCAGACUAGUGGCUUGAC
Molecule: ribosomal RNA, 128 nt
Filed under: Cephalotus follicularis
Lineage: Eukaryota; Viridiplantae; Streptophyta; Magnoliopsida; Oxalidales; Cephalotaceae
Source: RNAcentral